GGGGAUUUAGCUCAGUGGUAGAGCACUUGCCUAGCAAGCGCAAGGCCCUGGGUUUGAUCCCCAGCUUCA
Molecule: transfer RNA, 69 nt
Filed under: Rattus norvegicus (Norway rat)
Lineage: Eukaryota; Metazoa; Chordata; Mammalia; Rodentia; Muridae
Rfam family: tRNA
About the family: Transfer RNA (tRNA) molecules are approximately 80 nucleotides in length. Their secondary structure includes four short double-helical elements and three loops (D, anti-codon, and T loops). Further hydrogen bonds mediate the characteristic L-shaped molecular structure. tRNAs have two regions of fundamental functional importance: the anti-codon, which is responsible for specific mRNA codon recognition, and the 3' end, to which the tRNAs corresponding amino acid is attached (by aminoacyl-tRNA synthetases). tRNAs cope with the degeneracy of the genetic code in two manners: having more than one tRNA (with a specific anti-codon) for a particular amino acid; and 'wobble' base-pairing, i.e. permitting non-standard base-pairing at the 3rd anti-codon position.
Source: Rfam by way of RNAcentral